ACGAACGCUGGCGGCGUGCUUAACACAUGCAAGUCGAACGAAGAGCGAUGGAAGCUUGCUUCUAUCAAUCUUAGUGGCGAACGGGUGAGUAACGCGUAAUCAACCUGCCCUUCAGAGGGGGACAACAGUUGGAAACGACUGCUAAUACCGCAUACGAUCUAAUCUCGGCAUCGAGGAUAGAUGAAAGGUGGCCUCUACAUGUAAGCUAUCACUGAAGGAGGGGAUUGCGUCUGAUUAGCUAGUUGGAGGGGUAACGGCCCACCAAGGCGAUGAUCAGUAGCCGGUCUGAGAGGAUGAGCGGCCACAUUGGGACUGAGACACGGCCCAGACUCCUACGGGAGGCAGCAGUGGGGAAUCUUCCGCAAUGGACGAAAGUCUGACGAAGCAACGCCGCGUGAGGGAUGACGGCCGUCGGGUUGUAGAGCUCUGUUAAUCGGGACGAAAGGGCUUCUUGCGAAUAGUGAGAAGGAUUGACGGUACCGGAAAAGAAAGCCACGGCUAACUACGUG
This 509-nucleotide ribosomal RNA is filed under the name uncultured bacterium. Its description in RNAcentral is "partial 16S ribosomal RNA". It matches the Rfam family "Bacterial small subunit ribosomal RNA", at positions 29 to 507 of the family's 1533-position model. The record is from RNAcentral.